UUAGGUUAGUGUAAAAGUAAUUGUGGUUUUUGCCAUUGAAAGUAAUGGCAAAAACAGCAAUUAUUUUUGCACCAACCUA
This 79-nucleotide microRNA precursor is filed under the name Colobus angolensis palliatus. RNAcentral's name for it is "miRNA (ENSCANG00000014412.1)". Lineage: Eukaryota; Metazoa; Chordata; Mammalia; Primates; Cercopithecidae. The record is from RNAcentral.